UUCGUAGGCGGUGUGGCAAGUCGGGAGUGAAAUCUCUGGGCUCAACUCAGAGGCUGCUUCCGAAACUGCUGUGCUUGAGUGUGGGAGAGGCGCGUGGAAUUGCAGGUGUAGCGGUGAAAUGCGUAGAUAUCUGCAGGAACACCCGUGGCGAAAGCGGCGCGCUGGACCAUAACUGACGCUGAGGAACGAAAGCUAGGGGAGCAAACAGGAUUAGAUACCCUGGUAGUCCUAGCCCUAAACCAUCAGGACUUGGGGUGCCGCCCGUUCGGGCGUCGUCCCGGAGCUAACGCGUUAAGUCCUGCACCUGGGGAGUACGGUCGCAAGACUGAA
Molecule: ribosomal RNA, 330 nt
Filed under: uncultured bacterium
Lineage: Bacteria
Description: bacterial SSU rRNA
Rfam family: Bacterial small subunit ribosomal RNA
Source: RNAcentral